Molecule: ribosomal RNA, 346 nt
Filed under: uncultured Alphaproteobacteria bacterium
Lineage: Bacteria; Pseudomonadati; Pseudomonadota; Alphaproteobacteria
Description: bacterial SSU rRNA
Rfam family: Bacterial small subunit ribosomal RNA
Source: RNAcentral
GAACGCUCCAGCAAUGGAGAGUGGCAGACGGGUGAGUAACGCGUGGGAACCUUCCCAGUGGUACGGAAUAGCUCAGGGAAACUUGAGGUAAUACCGUAUAAGCCCCUAGGGGGAAAGAUUUAUCGCCAUUGGAUGGGCCCGCGUCGGAUUAGCUAGUUGGUGAGGUAAUGGCUCACCAAGGCGACGAUCCGUAGCUGGUUUGAGAGAAUGACCAGCCACACUGGGACUGAGACACGGCCCAGACUCCUACGGGAGGCAGCAGUGGGGAAUAUUGGACAAUGGGCGAAAGCCUGAUCCAGCCAUGCCGCGUGAGUGACGAAGGCCUUAGGGUUGUAAAGCUCUUUUG